AACAAAUAAGAGCUUUGGGUUUAUCUCUUUUUUAUUCCAAAGCUAGUGGGUGGUGAUGGUGGCCUUAGCCAUCGUAUGCAGUUGAUUAGGGUUAGGCCAUCUGCCUCUUUUCUAUUACCUUCAAGCUUCACAUUUAUUUUCUUUUUGAAAUUUUGAUGAGACAUCAGUCUAUUUCACACGUUUUUUUAUUUUUUAUUUUUACGAAAAAAGAUAAGAGAGAAAGAGGGAGAAUUAACCCAUAUGUUUGUUGUUGAUAAUAUCUCUAUUAAGUUUCUAAAGUCAAUGGUUCAUACCCUAACGAUACAUGUGACUCCUGCCAAAAUGAUUAAUAGGGGAAACUAGAAUCAAAUCAAGAGACACCAGCUCCUUACUCCUGAGGGCUUUACCUGACCGAAUAAGCCAUUGUUUCUUGGUUUAUAUCUGAUUCAUUACUUUCAUCAGACCAAGGAAACAGUUGAUUAUCAAUUCAUGAUUCAACCGGUUUGGUUGCCUAUUCAAUAUCCAAUUUUUUCAACACUAUUCAAUACUUAGCUACGCUUCCAAGUCCCACCCACCAUGAUGUCCUACCGUUCCAAUUGAACCAUAAAAUCCAAACCAAGAAUAGGAGAACUAGAAAAUUAGUUUGUUCUAAACGUCUAUAAGGAAUUUUCUCAGUGAUCUGAAAUACAGUUGGCCAGCUAAUUUCCUGUAGACUUGUAAAACCUUUGGGUCAAGCCAUUAGCCAUCUAAUGGGAAGAUGAGUAAAAGAGAAGAGUAUAGGAAGAUGGGUAGAAAUUGCUUUCCAAUUACGAAUUUUCUUUGAUUCAAAAUAGUGAAAGGGAAACACAAGUUAUGGGUCCAUUUCAAUACCUUAUCUUUGGUAGUUGUUUUUCUUUUUUCCAAGUUAGAUGUGAUACCUAUUUCCUUGAAAGCAAAGCAUAGCAUAUGUAGAAAAUGUGAUGGAUGGACCCUUUGCUAGUCUUCCCACUUGAAAAUGUCUUUUUUUUUUUUAAAUGUAAAUGUCAAUGUUUAAGUUAUCAUGUUGGAAAAUAAUUAAAAAUCCAUAAAGAUUUGUUCCCCUAAAAAUUGGUAAUUUGGAAUAUUUUAGAAGCAAUAAUGUUGAUUUCAACCCAAUGAGUUGUUGAACUUGUAGAGAACGUUAAACAUGGUGAAAAAGCUUUUGCAUAUUGACAAAGUCUACUUUUUCACAUGAACAACAUUUAAAAUUAUAUGAGACAUCAUUAUUAAUACCGUAUGAUUUUAUUGAAUAUAAGGAGAAUGUUUCCUCGCAUUUCAAAAGUAUGAAUUUGAAUUUAAUUAUUAUUUUUUACAUAAAGAAAUAAUUUCGGAAAACAUAAACGUUAGAGAGAAGGGCUAUUAUUAAAGAUUGAACCAAUCUCAUGGAGUAUGCCGUAUGAAAACAUGUGACCAGUUCAUAAGAUUGAACCAAAAUUUUUUUGGCCAAAGAAUAAAUCAAAGCUUUAAGAUGCUGUUAAGAUUGUGAAAUCCAAUCAUAUCUAAACCUUAAUUAUGUUAACCAAUCAUGAGACACGCUUCUAAAGAUAAAAUGUUAUUAAUUUUUUAUAAUAAAGAUUAAAAUUUAAAUAUAUUAAAUGACAUCUUUUAAAAAUAAUUAUUUAAAUCAAGUUAAUUAUAU
Molecule: long non-coding RNA, 1636 nt
Filed under: Durio zibethinus
Lineage: Eukaryota; Viridiplantae; Streptophyta; Magnoliopsida; Malvales; Malvaceae
Description: long non-coding RNA (DZIB_LNC001213)
Source: RNAcentral